RNAcentral lists this ribosomal RNA (500 nucleotides) under bacterium enrichment culture clone ALO1_GLFRUDD03GNFLS. RNAcentral's name for it is "bacterial SSU rRNA". It matches the Rfam family "Bacterial small subunit ribosomal RNA", at positions 9 to 502 of the family's 1533-position model. The record is from RNAcentral.
GAGUUUGAUCGUGGCUCAGAUUGAACGCUGGCGGCAUGCCUUACACAUGCAAGUCGAACGGCAGCACGGGAGCUUGCUCCUGGUGGCGAGUGGCGAACGGGUGAGUAAUGCAUCGGAACGUAUCCUGGAGUGGGGGAUAACGUAGCGAAAGUUACGCUAAUACCGCAUAUUCUGUGAGCAGGAAAGCGGGGGACCUUCGGGCCUCGCGCUCUUGGAGCGGCCGAUGUCGGAUUAGCUAGUUGGUGAGGUAAAGGCUCACCAAGGCGACGAUCCGUAGCAGGUCUGAGAGGAUGAUCUGCCACACUGGAACUGAGACACGGUCCAGACUCCUACGGGAGGCAGCAGUGGGGAAUAUUGGACAAUGGGCGAAAGCCUGAUCCAGCCAUGCCGCGUGUGUGAAGAAGGUCUUCGGAUUGUAAAGCACUUUAAGUUGGGAGGAAGGGCAGUAAGUUAAUACCUUGCUGUUUUGACGUUACCGACAGAAUAAGCACCGGCUAACU